UGAGGAAUAUUGCGCAAUGGGCGAAAGCCUGACGCAGCGACGCCGCGUGGAGGAUGAAGGUCUUCGGAUUGUAAACUCCUGUCGAGCGGGACGAAUGCGGUGAGCGUUAACAGCGCUCGCCGUUGACGGUACCGCUGGAGGAAGCCCCGGCUAACUCCGUGCCAGCAGCCGCGGUAAUACGGAGGGGGCCAGCGUUGUUCGGAAUCAUUGGGCGUAAAGGGCGCGUAGGCGGCCGAUCAAGUCCGACGUGAAAUUCCUCGGCUCAACCGAGGGCCUGCGUCGGAUACUGCUCGGCUUGAGUCCCGGAGAGGGUAGUGGAAUUCCCAGUGUAGCGGUGAAAUGCGUAGAUACUGGGAGGAACACCGGUGGCGAAGGCGGCUACCUGGACGGGUACUGACGCUGAGGCGCGAAAGCUAGGGGAGCAAACAG
RNAcentral lists this ribosomal RNA (429 nucleotides) under uncultured bacterium. RNAcentral describes it as "bacterial SSU rRNA". It matches the Rfam family "Bacterial small subunit ribosomal RNA", at positions 355 to 775 of the family's 1533-position model. The record is from RNAcentral.